UACUUUAAUUUUUUUUAUUGUUUUUUUAUUUUGGGUUGGUUCUAACUUUUGUAAAUGCUUUUUUGAAAGUUUUAUUCUUGCUUUUUGUUAGUUUUUUUAUAUGUUUUAUAUACGUUGUUUUUAUAUUAAAUAUUUUUGUUGUAGUAUUUGUAAUUGAAUAUAAAUUUAGGUUUGAUUCAGUAAUAUAUGUAGAGAAGGUCAAUGUCGUGCCAGCAGCCGCGGUUAUACGUCAAUUCUCGAGACUAACUUUUUUGGUUUUAGGUAAUUUUAUUUUGUAUAUUUUUGUUUUAAUGUUUGGUGGAAUAUUAUUAAUUUAAUUUAUGCUAUUUAUGGUUUUUCUAUGUAAACUAUUUUUUAAACUAGGAUUAGAUACCCUAUUAUUUUAGACUAAUAUUUUUGCCAGGGUAGUAUUUUUUUUUUGAUUGAAACCUAAAGAAUUUGGCGGCAUUUUAUCUUUUUAGAGGAACCUGUUUCUUGAAUGAUGUUACACGAUUGGCACUACUUAUUUUAUUUGUUUGUAUAUUUCCGUUAUCAGAAUAUUUAUAGAUAAUAUUUUCAUGAUUUUUUAUUAAAUUUUAUUUCAGGUCAAGGUGCAGCUUAUAAAUAAGAGAUUAAUGGGUUACAAUAAUUUAAUUUAAAUGGAUAUUCUUUUUAAAUAUUGAAUUGAAGGUGGAUUUAUUAGUAAGCUUUUAUAAUUAUUAAAUCUGAACUGGCACUAAAUUGUGUACAUAUCGCCCGUCGCUCUCAUUUGUUUGAGAUAAGUCGUAACAAAGUAGAUUUACUGGAAAGUGAAUCUGGAUU
RNAcentral lists this non-coding RNA (801 nucleotides) under Euparatettix variabilis. Lineage: Eukaryota; Metazoa; Arthropoda; Insecta; Orthoptera; Tetrigidae. The record is from RNAcentral.